This 253-nucleotide ribosomal RNA is filed under the name uncultured bacterium. RNAcentral's name for it is "partial 16S ribosomal RNA". It matches the Rfam family "Bacterial small subunit ribosomal RNA", at positions 524 to 776 of the family's 1533-position model. The record is from RNAcentral.
UACGAAGGGGGCUAGCGUUGCUCGGAAUCACUGGGCGUAAAGGGUGCGUAGGCGGGUCUUUAAGUCAGAGGUGAAAUCCUGGAGCUCAACUCCAGAACUGCCUUUGAUACUGAGGAUCUUGAGUACGGGAGAGGUGAGUGGAACUGCGAGUGUAGAGGUGAAAUUCGUAGAUAUUCGCAAGAACACCAGUGGCGAAGGCGGCUCACUGGCCCGUUACUGACGCUGAGGCAUGAAAGCGUGGGGAGCAAACAGG